This 470-nucleotide ribosomal RNA is filed under the name uncultured Gram-positive bacterium. Its description in RNAcentral is "bacterial SSU rRNA". It matches the Rfam family "Bacterial small subunit ribosomal RNA", at positions 81 to 572 of the family's 1533-position model. The record is from RNAcentral.
CAAUCGACGACAUAGUGGCGAACGGGUGAGUAAUGAUUCACUAACCUACCUCAACUCGAGAUAGCAGGGAGAAAUUCCUGGUAAUACUCGAUGUUUCUCAGAGUCCGCAUGGUCUCUGAUACAAAGCUCCGGCGGCUUGAGAUGGGGUGAAUUGGUAUCAGCUAGUUGGUGAGGUAACGGCUCACCAAGGCUUCGACGCCUAACCGGACUGAGAGGUCGGCCGGUCACAUCGGGACUGAGACACUGCCCGGACUCCUACGGGAGGCUGCAGUAACGAAUCUUCCGCAAUGCACGAAAGUGUGACGGAGCGACGCCGCGUGCGGGACGAAGCCCUUCGGGGUGUAAACCGCUAAAACCAUCAGGAAAGUUCUGAUCCGGUGGUGAUAAGGAGCGACUAACUCUGUGCCAGCAGUCGCGGUAACACAGAGGCUCCAAGCGUUAGGCGGAAUCACUGGGCUUAAAGCGUGCGU